AGAGUUUGAUCCUGGCUCAGGAUGAACGCUAGCGGCAGGCUUAAUACAUGCAAGUCGAACGGUAACAUGGUAGCAAUACUGAUGACGAGUGGCGCACGGGUGAGUAACACGUAUGCAACCUACCCUUAACAGGGGGAUAGCUCUCCGAAAGGAGGAUUAAUACCCCAUAGUAUGAUGAUGUGGCAUCACAUUGUUAUUAAAGAUUUAUUGGUUAAGGAUGGGCAUGCGUCUGAUUAGCUAGUUGGUAGUGUAACGGACUACCAAGGCGACGAUCAGUAGGGGUUCUGAGAGGAAGAUCCCCCACACUGGUACUGAGAUACGGACCAGACUCCUACGGGAGGCAGCAGUAGGGAAUAUUGGUCAAUGGGGGCAACCCUGAACCAGCCAUGCCGCGUGCAGGAUGAAGGCCUUCUGGGUUGUAAACUGCUUUUGACAGGGAACAAAUGCCACUUGCGAGUGGAGCUGAGUGUACCUGUAGAAUAAGCACCGGCUAACUCCGUGCCAGCAGCCGCGGUAAUACGGAGGGUGCAAGCGUUAUCCGGAUUUACUGGGUUUAAAGGGUGCGUAGGCGGCCUAUUAAGUCAGUGGUUAAAGACUCCAGCUUAACUGGAGGGCUGCCAUUGAUACUGAUUGGCUUGAGUACAGACGAGGUAAGCGGAAUUGAUGGUGUAGCGGUGAAAUGCAUAGAUACCAUCAAGAACACCGAUUGCGAAGGCAGCUUACUAGGGUGUAACUGACGCUGAGGCACGAAAGCGUGGGGAUCAAACAGGAUUAGAUACCCUGGUAGUCCAA
Molecule: ribosomal RNA, 792 nt
Filed under: uncultured bacterium
Lineage: Bacteria
Description: bacterial SSU rRNA
Rfam family: Bacterial small subunit ribosomal RNA
Source: RNAcentral